Molecule: transfer RNA, 76 nt
Filed under: Clostridiales bacterium
Lineage: Bacteria; Bacillati; Bacillota; Clostridia; Eubacteriales
Also listed under: 4 other names
Description: tRNA-Thr
Rfam family: tRNA
About the family: Transfer RNA (tRNA) molecules are approximately 80 nucleotides in length.
Source: RNAcentral
GCUGGUAUAGCUCAGUUGGUAGAGCAGCUCAUUCGUAAUGAGCAGGCCGCGGGUUCGAGUCCCAUUACCAGCUCCA